UAGGGAAUAUUGGGCAAUGGGGGAAACCCUGACCCAGCAACGCCGCGUGAGGGAAGAAGGUUUUCGGAUUGUAAACCUCUGUUCUUGGAGAAGAGAAGGAGACGGUAUCCAAGGAGGAAGCCCCGGCUAACUACGUGCCAGCAGCCGCGGUAAUACGUAGGGGGCGAGCGUUGUCCGGAAUGAUUGGGCGUAAAGGGCGCGUAGGCGGCCGAGCAAGUCAGUAGUGGAAGUCCAAUUUUCAAGGUUGGAAGUGCUAUUGAAACUGCAGGGCUUGAGUGCAGGAGAGGUUAUCGGAAUUCCCGGUGUAGCGGUGAAAUGCGUAGAGAUCGGGAGGAACACCAGUGGCGAAGGCGGGUAACUGGACUGCAACUGACGCUGAGGCGCGAAAGUGUGGGGAGCAAACAG
This 405-nucleotide ribosomal RNA is filed under the name uncultured bacterium. RNAcentral describes it as "bacterial SSU rRNA". It matches the Rfam family "Bacterial small subunit ribosomal RNA", at positions 355 to 775 of the family's 1533-position model. The record is from RNAcentral.